This 1302-nucleotide long non-coding RNA is filed under the name Bos taurus (domestic cattle). RNAcentral describes it as "long non-coding RNA NONBTAT006942". Lineage: Eukaryota; Metazoa; Chordata; Mammalia; Artiodactyla; Bovidae. The record is from RNAcentral.
GAAGUUGUCAGUGCCUAUACUUUAUUUAAAAAUUGGGGAAAAACUGAUCAGGAUUUCAAAAAAAUUGAUCCAACAAAGUUAUUUAUAACACUAACCUAUACAGUUAAAAUAAUCUCUCAAGGUAAUGGUUAGCAUUACCCAAUUUGCAGUUUUUAACUUUUCAUACCAUAAUAAUCUCAGUGAUUUAGAUCUGUCUCACGGUUAGAGAAACAGUAACUUACCUUUCCUUUGUUAUGAAAAAUUCCAAUAUACAAUUUCAUUUAAACCAUUUUAGUAUUCUUGGGGCAACAUUUGUCUUCUAUUUUUGGAAACCACCUAAAUCAACCCUGACUUCAAAUGCUUUCUUCUUUUGAAGACUUUAUUUCAGUUAUAACCUCAAUUUAUACAUGUUGUCGAAGGUUAAGGAAAUUGUUCUUUUUCUGCUUUUCUUUUUUUAAGAGUUUAUUGCCAUUUUAGAAACUGACUCCAAAUCGCAGUCAAGAAACCAUUUUGUAUCAGAAAACUGAAUCGAGAAAAUGAAUUGUGCAACAAUAGCAUUGUGCCUUUUGUUGAAACCUUCUAGUAGAUGUAAUAUUUAAAUAUUACUUUCCAGCCUUUGAUGGCCUGAAUAUAUUUUGAAGAAAAGAGCUAUUUGAUUUUCAAGUUAUCUUUUGGUUUUUAUACAAUAGAUUAAUGCUUUUCCCCCAUCUUAGCUGAUAUGUAUGCAUAGGCAUUUGGAAAUUAUGGAAGGACAUCUAUUUAACUUACGGAUAUAUAUUACCACUUGAUUCAUAUCAAGUAUUUGCCAAAUAUUUGGUACUUUUGGAAGUCAAAAUAUAUCUACAUCUUAUUCUAUGAAAAUAUAUGCGGGGAUCAAUAAAAGCACACUAGAUGUGAUUCUUCUAUGAUUUUUAAAUGAUAAUAGCAUAGUAAUUUAAUACUAGUGAUACAAUUUCUAUUCCAAGACACUCUUUCAGUUUUUUACAUGUUUUCAAGUGGGUUGCUCAUGUCCUGAGGUUGCUAUCAUACGAUUGAUCACACAGGCAAUCAGGAGUGCAUAACGACACAUGAGAUUUUAUAUUUCAGCAGGGAACUGCUUCAGUGUAAGGGCAGGUUUCUCAACACCCCUUCUUCCUCACGGAGCCCAUCAGUGAAGUUCAGUGAAAUGAAUAACAUAAUUGGUGGUUGGUUCAAUCACUACCAGUCUAGACUAGCCCAGACGCAUCAAUUAGAGGGGGCUGUCUUUUAAAGGGAGAGUGCCACCGAAACAAGCAGGGCAUUAUUGAUACUGAUCUUUAAAAGUGCAAAUCCAGCUUGGCAGAU